GUUCUGAGUAUUUUUAAAUGAAUUUUGAAGUAUGGACAUUUAGCACUAGUGUCUAUGGGAAUUUAUUUGCAGGCGCGCACCCUAUAGAUCCUGAGUGGUGGCGGCCAUGUUGUUAUGACGGGGGAUUUCAACGUGUGCUUUUUAUUGCUCAAGGGCUUUUGCAGCUGGGGAGCCUGCAGUUACUGGGCAACCAGCAGCUGCGCACUUUUUGACUAUUGAAUUGGCGUGUCUGUUAUUCACCAAGUGCACUGCGCUAUGGUCUCGACAAGAACCAUUUCUUGAGAAGGCUACUUAUCGAGGGAACAGUUGUGUCCAUUGCAGACAACAGCCGCCUAGCCCCAGCAGCUGCAAUGCCGGUGUUGUAAAGACCAACCUGGAACGCCAUGUUGGGAGUGGCAGUCCGUCUUCCUCUCCCCGUCUGUGGAAUUUCGGUGAACAGUUUUGUCUUGUCAGUGCAGAACCCACACUUUUGGCAGGACAGUACCUCGGACACAGCCAAACCUCGUCGCUCCUCAGCAUCUGGCAUCAAUGUGGGCCGGCCGCUGCAAUCAGGAUGUGUGCGUUGGUGAUCUAGGAUAGCCUGCGCUCCCAAGUCGACUGCAGAAUUGAUGUCGACGAAUCGGUAGGCUGCUCGCUUCCCUCCAUCUGACUGAUCAGCUGGGCUCUGGUGCUGGAGUUCUCUUCUACAGAGGGGCUGUGGUACUGCUUCCUUCUUGAGUUGGAGUUUGUCAAGGGGAGUAGUUUCAGCAGCGUUUGGUCGAAGCAGCAUGACUUUCCUUGUCGGCACUGCAUUGGGCGUGGUACAGAUGAACCCCCGCUCAUCUCUUUCAACAGCAAGUUGCAUCUGCUGUUGUGUUGGCCUUGUGUACACUGUUGGUGAGUUCAUCUGAAAAUGACUGAUUGGGGAUUUACACUUUGCAGGGAAUAGUUUAUGGCCAUUCUGGAACCAGCUUUUCUUCCUUUUGUACACUGCUCGUCCCAAUCGACCCAUACUGAAACUGCUGCAGAAAUAGCUGGUUUUGCAAAAUUGAGAUUGUUUUUCCCCUGUGUGAGCAUGUGACAGAAUGCAUGUGGUCACACUAACUCUCAAUGCCAGAGUGAUGACUAUACAGCACAUGUUUGGUUAAUAAUUCAGAAGCCAGUCUGUACAGAGAGUUUAUUUCUGUUGUUAUUUUAUGGG
This 1180-nucleotide unclassified non-coding RNA is filed under the name Patiria miniata (bat star). RNAcentral describes it as "uncharacterized LOC119741665, transcript variant X1". The record is from RNAcentral. Lineage: Eukaryota; Metazoa; Echinodermata; Asteroidea; Valvatida; Asterinidae.